RNAcentral lists this ribosomal RNA (274 nucleotides) under uncultured bacterium. RNAcentral describes it as "partial 16S ribosomal RNA". It matches the Rfam family "Bacterial small subunit ribosomal RNA", at positions 523 to 796 of the family's 1533-position model. The record is from RNAcentral.
AUACGGAGGGUGCAAGCGUUGUUCGGAAUCACUGGGCGUAAAGGGCGCGCAGGCGGUUUGGUAAGUCAGAUGUGAAAGCCCACGGCUCAACCGUGGAAGUGCAUUUGAAACUGUCAGACUUGAGUACUAGAGGGGAAAGUGGAAUUCCCGGUGUAGAGGUGAAAUUCGAAGAUAUCGGGAGGAAUACCGGUGGCGAAGGCGACUUUCUGGCUAGAUACUGACGCUGAGGCGCGAAAGCGUGGGGAGCAAACAGGAUUAGAAACCCUAGUAGUCC